This 400-nucleotide ribosomal RNA is filed under the name uncultured bacterium. RNAcentral describes it as "bacterial SSU rRNA". It matches the Rfam family "Bacterial small subunit ribosomal RNA", at positions 355 to 747 of the family's 1533-position model. The record is from RNAcentral.
UCGAGAAUCAUUCGCAAUGGGCGAAAGCCUGACGGUGCGACGUCGCGUGGAGGAUGAAGGUCUUCGGAUUGUAAACUCCUGUCAUGUGGAAUAAAUGGCCCGGGCCCGAAUACGGCCUGGGAAUGAUCGUACCACAGGAGGAAGAGACGGCUAACUCUGUGCCAGCAGCCGCGGUAAUACAGAGGUCUCGAGCGUUGUUCGGAUUUACUGGGCGUAAAGGGAGCGUAGGCGGUUUGGUGUGUCGAAUGUGAAAGCCCGCAACUCAACUGCGGAAUGGCAUUCGAAACUACCCGACUAGAGUACUGGAGAGGAGAGCGAAAUUCUGGUGUAGCGGUGAAAUGCGUAGAUAUCAAGAGGAACACCGGUGGCGAAGGCGGCUCUCUGGACAGAUACUGACGCU